Long non-coding RNA from Lycium ferocissimum, 1799 nucleotides. RefSeq lists it as uncharacterized. The record is from RefSeq and is a predicted model, not a curated record. The transcript has 2 exons. Lineage: Eukaryota; Viridiplantae; Streptophyta; Magnoliopsida; Solanales; Solanaceae.
CCAAUUCUAGAUGUUAGGUGGCCAUCUUUCGCCCUCUAAUGUGAUCUGUGCAAUUAUCUUUUUUAACGUUAAUUCACAUCAUUGCGAUAAAUCGGGGUCAUUUGGGUCAAUAUUUUCUGAGCUGUGGGAUAUCAGCUACCAUUUACUAUCGUAGUAAACUCAGGAAAUGAUUAAUGGUUUGUUCAUAAGGUCAGAUGCUAUUUUGGCGACCUCCCCUGAUGGAGGUUUGAGUGUCAAGGCAGCUUUUUUCUUGUGACUAAAUGCGGUUACAAUUGAUUAUUUUUGCUCUUAUGGUAUGACAUUGAUUUAGCUGGCGGUGCCAACAUUUACAUAAUCCUGGUGAUGACUCUGUGGCUCUAUAGCUAUUUGAGUUAUAUGUAGGCUAUAUACUACAUUUUUUCAGCUCUAACAUGACCCUUUAUUUUGUAUAUGGUGAGUGCAUCUUAAAGAGCAUCAAGUGAGGACCAUAGAACUUUACAAGUAGUUUAUCUCUUUUCUAAAGGAAAAUCAUCUUGAUUACACCAAAAAAUUCUUGUACAUCUAUUUUUAAGCUAUGUGUUGCCUCUUGUCACCUUUUCAGAGCCCCUUCUAUUUCUUUCUUUCCGUAGCAUCUAUGGUAUGCAUAAAGAAGAAAUGACCCAAAACUUGCCUCUUAAAUAAAUGGUGCACAUGUUCUUGAUUCUUUUUCUCUGUUUUUAUUUUCUUUGGCAUGUUUAAAAUGGCUGCAAUAUAGUUCAUGCAUGAAAAGGAAUUAUCCUUUGAAUUGGGACACUGAUAUUUCGGCAGAGAAGCUUCUAGUUUCUGCUUCUAUCCAGCUUGUUGGCGUUUUGCCUACCACCAUAGUUCAGACUUCUUACUGAAUCACAUUUUUCGUCUUCAAAGAACCUGGACUAGGAUUGCUGAUAUUGAACUCUCAAAUUGUUUGUUUCUGUAGUUUUUCCUUGGUAACUAAAUGCAUAGACAAAACCACAUUAACUGGUAUAUGUAUUUCUUGAAGGGACUUAUGAUAAUCAGCUGUAGGCAUCAGUUCUCUGCUUCUAACUUGUUCUAACUGCUCUUAGUUGGUCAUACCAAUGCAUGAGUUUCUGGACUCAAAUGUAAAAUAGGAAUAUUUAGCCUCCAUCUUGAGGUAAUAAAUCUGGUAUUAGUAAAACUAGUCAUUUCCCAGAGUAUCGUUUAUGCACUGAUGUACCCAAAAAAAAAAAAAUCUGAUGUCCAUCUCCUCUUCCUAACCUUUGGGACAUUAAUACAUUGUGAGAUCUGUAUUCAAUCCAAAGUUGUUACACUGAGAAAAAUAAGUUUUCCAAGUAAUUGUUACAUUUCACCUGGUCCAUGUGCUGGUGGGAGGUAGUAGGUACCUGCUGGGAUUAGUCAAGGUGCGUGCAAGGUUGUCCAGACACUGCUGUUAUAAAAAUACUAACUUUAGUUGUUACUCUUCAUAAUGUGCAACUGAUCUAUAUGUUUGCUCGAGGACUCAUGGUCUCUGUAUAUAUUUCAGCCACUGGCCCACAUUUCCACAAAUAUUUAUCAAGGGGGAGUUCAUCGGCGGAUCAGAUAUCAUCCUCAAUAUGCACCAGAGCGGUGAACUCAAGGAAAAGCUGAAAACUAUUGUGGCCAACGAGGGGAAAUCAGAAUGAGAUAAUGUCACUGCAGAAUGUAGAAUUGUUCUGCCUGUGUGUCGAACUAUUGUAAUAUUUCUAGCAUUGAGUUUGUAAUCUUUAGGCUUGCGAGCUGUAAUAAAAGUGACACUUGAUUCCAUAUUCCAUAUUUUAGUGGAAACGAUCAAAUAAUAUUCUUCA